This 243-nucleotide ribosomal RNA is filed under the name uncultured bacterium. RNAcentral describes it as "partial small subunit ribosomal RNA". It matches the Rfam family "Bacterial small subunit ribosomal RNA", at positions 26 to 285 of the family's 1533-position model. The record is from RNAcentral.
AGAAUCAACGCUGGCGGCGUGCCUAACACAUGCAAGUCGCACGAGAAAGGGGAGCAAUCCCUGAGUAAAGUGGCGCACGGGUGAGUAACACGUGAAUGAUCUACCUCCGAGUGGGGAAUAACCAAAGAAAUUUGGCUAAUACCGCAUAACACUUACGAGUCAAAGCAGCAAUGCGCUUGGAGGGGAGUUCGCGGCAGAUUAGCUAGUUGGCGGGGUAAUGGCCCACCAAGGCGAUGAUCUGUA